UACGAGGGGGCGAGCGUUGUUCGGAAUUAUUGGGCGUAAAGGGUGCGUAGGCGGCCUGACAAGUCUGAUGUGAAAUCCCUGGGACUCCAACCCAGGGCCUGCAUCGGAAACUGUCGGGCUUGAGUAUGGGAGAGGUGAGUGGGAAUUUCCGGGUGUAGCGGUGAAAUGCGUAGAUAUCGGAAGGAACACCUGUGGCGAAAGCGGCUCACUGGACCAUUACUGACGCUGAGGCACGAAAGCUAGGGGAGCAAACAGGGAGU
Molecule: ribosomal RNA, 260 nt
Filed under: uncultured bacterium
Lineage: Bacteria
Description: partial 16S ribosomal RNA
Rfam family: Bacterial small subunit ribosomal RNA
Source: RNAcentral